GGUAUCAUUAGGAAGUGGUAAUGUUGCAUAUAUUAGUUUUCCUUCUCGAAUCUUAAGUUGAUUUCUCAUAAUUCUUCUUGGUUUGCCUUUCAACUGCAUUAUUGCCUACCAUAGGGUAAAUAAUUAUUUGGGCUUCGUAUGAUUUUAUUCGUUUUAAGGAUUAUAUUCUUUCAUUUUCUUUUUUUUCUUUUCUCUUUGCAUUAUUGUUGGCUGCUGAAUGACUUCUGGCCUUGGCACAAGCUUAAACUGUUAAUUUUUGCAAUAUUGUAAACUGUUAAUUUUUGCUAUAUUGUCUUUUGCAUACUCCUCGUUUUCUGGGGUUGGACUGGAAGCCUUUAGUAGCUUGAUUAAAAUUUAAAAGGGCCUUAUGACUAAAAUACCUCAAACUAGAGACUGAUUGCUGGAGGUCUGUCAAUUUCACUUUAUUAUACCUAUCUCAGCUAUGAUCCUUGAUUGCAGUGGUAGAGAUUAAUGUUUCUUCAAUUGAGGUUUCAUAAUUCAGUUUGAGAACCAUUAUGUUACUGAGUAUGACCUUGAUUAAUGUCUUGCU
This 550-nucleotide unclassified non-coding RNA is filed under the name Hevea brasiliensis (rubber tree). The record is from RNAcentral. Lineage: Eukaryota; Viridiplantae; Streptophyta; Magnoliopsida; Malpighiales; Euphorbiaceae.